Long non-coding RNA from Salvelinus namaycush (lake trout), 1507 nucleotides. RefSeq lists it as uncharacterized. The record is from RefSeq and is a predicted model, not a curated record. NCBI's taxonomy places the organism in Eukaryota, Metazoa, Chordata, Actinopteri, Salmoniformes, Salmonidae. The transcript is spliced from 3 exons.
AUGUAUUUGGCUAAGGUGUAUGUAAAUUUCCGACUUCAACUUCAGACAUAAAAAUGGUAUCCACCAGUUCAUCUAACUCUGGGGAAGUAGAUGAGACUUCAAUGCCAAAAUUAAGUAUCCCUUUUAAUCUGGGUCUGGAAAACUGGCUCUAGGUCUUUACACUGUAUUUCGUUGGACAAAACACAAGGGACCUGGGCUGUGAUUAUUUUCAGACCACAAUCUGUGUUCAUGAUACAUAUCUUCACUUUGUUGUAAAUACAAACAGAUUGUUCCUUUGUGUGUCUUUGUUCAUAAAUUGUUUUAGAGAUUGGUGUGAACUUUGAUACUUUUAUCUCUAACUCUUACUAAACCAUUAUGCCAAAUAUUUUAGUAAUGCAGCAACUUUCUCUCAUUCUUUUUUAUCCAUACUGCUGUGUUUGUCAGGUAAACAUCCUCCUUACGUUUUCCUUUAUAGAAGUAGGGAAGUUUCUCUAAAAACACAUGACUUAGUUCAAAAUGGGAAGUAUGAUGUAUCCUUUUAAUGUGUAGAGAGGAGUUAUUUCAUAUGUAUUAUGCAAUUAUAGCGGAUGUCUCUGGCUUUACAUAGCUUUUUUUUGUCAACUAAUUGUAUGAAAUUCUAACCCAAAAUGCUGUAAUCUGUGUUCCAAUUUAAAAAAAAAAAAAUGUUUUACUGGAAAAUAGUUUUUGUAAUAUGUGUGAAAAUACUAAUCAAAGGUCUGUGUUUUAUUAUAUGGAUUUUGGUAAGUACUGUAGUAAUCUUGUGGGAAUUCCUGAUUGUUACACAAUCACAGCCACAAGUUGGCCCUUUGCCUGGCAAUAAUAGACAUCACCUGUAUUUUUGGUUUCACUAAUGACUUUUAAACAUUCACACAACCAGACACUUCUGAUGUCAGUCUCUGUUCACUUUGUUCCAAAAGUUCAUGUAUGUUACAGUAGCAUAUUCUAUUUUAUAGCAUAUUCAAAAAUUCCAGCCGCAAAGAUGCCAUAACUGGUCCUUGCUAUCCUGUUUCCUUGGGACAUCCCUACCCCGUUGAAGUUUAAAUUUAAAUGGAGGAGGCAAGGAUAGAGGACGUGAGGAGUAUCCAACUGAGACUCUCCCAGAGAAAUACACACAGGCAAGGACUCACGGACGACCUUAUAGCAGGUGGCUACCAUUGAAACGGGCAACUUUGAGCUCCACCCACAGCAGACUGCAGAGAGACAAUUCCUUAAACCCUCUGGGAUUCCACUCUACGUUUCUGCCUUCUGCUCCAAUCGUCUUUGAACAACAGGAAGGGAGCAAGAUGGACAAUAAAUGUACCAUUCCUCCCUCAAGGAGAACCCAGUUGAAGGUGAUGCUGAUAUGCCCAGUGUGCCAGAACAUAAGGACUGCUGCCCUGUGGGCACAGCUACUGUAUGGUGUGUCUGGAGGGUGUGAUAGAACCAAUUUUUUUUUAAUCAUAUUACUCCAGUGCUAGCUUCCCUACACUGGCUUCCUGUUAAGGCAAGGGCUGAUUUCAAGGUUUUA